CCCCUAGAUGUUCUGGGCCGCACGCGCGCUACACUGAACAGUUCAACAAGUCUUAACCUUGGCCGAUAGGUCUGGGUAAUCUUUGAACGCUGUUCGUGAUUGGGAUAGACCUUUGCAAUUAUGGGUCUUCAACGAGGAAUUCCUAGUAAACGCAAGUCGUCAGCUUGCAUUGAUUACGUCCCUGCCCUUUGUACACACCGCCCGUCGCACCUACCGAUUGAAUGGUCCGGUGAAAUCUCGGGACGGCGGCUCGGUCGCUUGCGUCCGACUGCUGAAACUUGAUUAAACCAUAUCAUUUAGAGGAAGGUGAAGUCGUAACA
This 320-nucleotide ribosomal RNA is filed under the name uncultured eukaryote. Its description in RNAcentral is "partial 18S ribosomal RNA". It matches the Rfam family "Eukaryotic small subunit ribosomal RNA", at positions 1470 to 1796 of the family's 1831-position model. The record is from RNAcentral.